This 445-nucleotide ribosomal RNA is filed under the name uncultured bacterium. RNAcentral's name for it is "bacterial SSU rRNA". It matches the Rfam family "Bacterial small subunit ribosomal RNA", at positions 338 to 795 of the family's 1533-position model. The record is from RNAcentral.
CCUACGGGAGGCUGCAGUGGGGAAUAUUGGGCAAUGGAGGAAACUCUGACCCAGCGACGCCGCGUGCGGGAUGAAGGCCUUCGGGUUGUAAACCGCUUUCAGUAGGGAAGAAGCGAAAGUGACGGUACCUACAAAAGAAGCACCGGCUAACUAUGUGCCAGCAGCCGCGGUAAUACAUAGGGUGCAAGCGUUGUCCGGAAUUAUUGGGCGUAAAGAGCUCGUAGGUUGUUUGUUACGUCGGAUGUGAAAACCUGAGGCUCAACCUCAGGCCUGCAUUCGAUACGGGCAAACUAGAGUUUGGUAGGGGAGACUGGAAUUCCUGGUGUAGCGGUGGAAUGCGCAGAUAUCAGGAGGAACACCAAUGGCGAAGGCAGGUCUCUGGGCCAAUACUGACACUGAGGAGCGAAAGUCUGGGGAGCGAACAGGAUUAGAUACCCCAGUAGUC